This 411-nucleotide ribosomal RNA is filed under the name Trioceros quadricornis gracilior. RNAcentral's name for it is "partial 12S ribosomal RNA". It matches the Rfam family "Bacterial small subunit ribosomal RNA", at positions 768 to 1395 of the family's 1533-position model. Lineage: Eukaryota; Metazoa; Chordata; Lepidosauria; Squamata; Chamaeleonidae. The record is from RNAcentral.
UAAACUGGGAUUAGAUACCCCACUAUGCCCAGUCGUAAACACCGAUACCCACAAUCCGCCAGAGAACAACGAGCAAAGCUUAAAACCCAAAGGACUUGGCGGCAUUCCACACCACCCUAGAGGGGCCUGUCACAUAAUCGAUAACCCACGAUAAACCUCACCACUUUUAGCCACAUCAGCCUAUAUACCGCCGUCGCCAGCCCAUCUUGAAAAGAAACAAAAUAGGCCCAAUAGUUUCCCCACUAGUACGACAGGUCAAGGUGUAACUCAUAAAGUGGAAAAUGAUGGACCACAUUGCUAUCCACAGCUAAACCAAAAUUGCACUGAAACACACACUUUAAGGUGAAUUUAACAGUAAAGCGGACAAGAAAAUCUGCCUGAAGACUGCUCUGGAACGUGCACACACCGCCC